GAGGUGGGGGCUAGGACAGGGGAGGUCUCUGUGGACUCUGUCCCAAAAAUGGGGUGACGUGUGUGCUCGAGGACAGCAGAGGAUGGCAGGACUGUUUAAGUGUGGAUGUGUGUCUCAGGGCAAGUUAAUACACACGGGACAGUGUGCCCCUGUGACGAGGGAGUGUUUGCCUGUAUCCGAGGGUGUAUGUGACUUGACUGUGUGUGUGUGUUUGUGUUUGUCUCUGGUGCCAUGUUGGUGGCAGUGAGGUUGAAAAAGCAUAAGGCAGCCGGCCCCAAGGAAUGGCUGGCCUAUAAAUGGACGUCCAGUGGGGCUGAGAGGCAGCAGUGACUGGAAUCAGGCUCUAUUCCUCUAUGGAUGGGUUGACCGAAAAAGACUGCGAGACUGUUUUUCCUGGGUUCCAUGGCAGAGGUGAAGGAGGAAGAAGUGAGGCUUAGGAAGCAGGCUGUGUGUAAGUCUGUCUCUGGGUCAGGCUGGGCCAGUGGGAGUGGGGAGGCUCCUAGCAUCCUAUGGAGCAGACGCCAGGGUCAUCUGCUCCAAGAUCCAGAGGGACUCUGACUUUUGGGGUUGGUGGAUGGAGAGGUUGGGGAGCAGGGGAGUGUGUGCUUGGCUGCAACCCUCCUCAAAGGACCCUGCUGGCAAGGCCUGACCCAGGUUGGGGUGGGGGGCCGCUCCGGCCUACCUGCCCAGUCAAAGCCAAGAGUCAGAGCUGUGGCCUGCUGAUUCUGCUGUGCCUGCCCUUCGCCCUACCAUGGGCUCCACACCACCCCCAGGACAGCCCAGGACCAGUCUUGGGGAAUAAGAGCCCUGGCAGUGCUCAGCCAGAGGGCAGUGGUCCUGCUUCCUCCCUCUCCCCCAGCCCCGUCUCCUUCUGCUCAGCACUUCCACACACAACCGGCUGCAGCUAUUAGCUCUGCAUCUCUGAUGAGGACAUUUGCAUAUAUAACGAAGAACCUUCACAGGUGUUGGAGAAACAGCUCCUCCUCUCAUUUCCCUCUCCUCUCCUGCCAGCUGCCACCCUGACCUGUGGCUUUGGGGGUGUGGGAUCCCUGCCCACUCAGCUGGGAGAUGUGCUGAGGAGUCCUGGGUGCAGGAAGUUGCGGUGGUUCCUGCCCCUGGGUCGGAAACAGGCAAGGUGAAAGCCCAUUGUGUCAGUGUGCUGGGACAGACCCAACUAUACGUGUACGUGUGUGAACAUCAGCCUGUGCACAAGCACAGAAAGAAGGUCAAGGUCAACAUGCCGUCCCUGCCCAAGUGCUCUGCAGCUCCUGGUAACGUACGCAGGUCAGUGUGAGUAUGCAAAACACGUCCCAGGCUGCACCCACACUCUGUGCCAUGCACGCACUGCCAGCACAUGCUCCUUCACACUCACGCCCUGGCACCAGCGCAGGCAAUUAGAGAAAAAUGCACCUGCACCGACACUUCCUCUCUCCAAACAGAGCCCCUCCCUCCCUCCCUCCUCUCCUUUCUCCCAUCAACCCUGACCACAGUGUUUCUCAUGGAGUCACCAGUCCCUAUUCAGGCUGGAAAAUGACUCCCUCAGCCCCACACACUUAUUCAGACCCAUUAAGCACACAAGAGGCCAUAUUCUUUAAAAAAAAAAAAAAAAUGAGUAAGAGGAGCCCUUGUACCCUAGAUAAGUGGCAUUGAAGGGGGAGAGAAAAUGCCACAGCCAGGGUGGCUGGUAGGGCUGCGGGCUGGGAACUAGGGGAAGGUGGAGGGUGUCUAGGGAGGAGCAGAGACAGGGCUAAAGUGUCUACAAGGUCCUUCUCAGGUUAUCCCCUCCAGCCCUCUCCGACUCUCCCCGACUGCAGACCAGCCAAUGCCCAACCCCACGGCCUCCCCCCGCCCUCCUGUUGGUCCGGCUGAGUCACGUGACCCUCUCCCUCUCUGACAGCUGCCCCUGAUGAUGGAUGCGGCGGCUCAGCUGUACCUGUUGGGGGACAGGGACUGCACAGAUCCUAAUUACCUCCUUCUCCAGCCGGGGCUGGGGGCUGGGCUGGACGAUGGCUCCGGCCUUGCUCCACGGGGGCUGAGGCUGGCAUCCUGAGCUGGGGCCAGGCCUAGAGGAAGGCAUUCCUUGGACUCCUCUGGGGUGAUGGGGAUGUGGGGGCACCGGCCUGGGGUGUAGAUGGGGGGAGCGCUUCUGGAAGGCUGGUAGAGGGAACGGAAGCACAUCACAGCUACUACAUCAGGGGCCUGGGGAGCUGGAUAGGACCUUGAAUAAAUGACCUUUCUCCAAGUCCUUCCCACUGGGCGUGAGAUUCAGGUUAAAUGUGGAGGAGAGCUUCCUGGCAGCAGGGACGAGAUACACUUGAGCAAAAGACAGCAGUGCGGAGGCAGAGGUUUGGAAGACUUCUCCGAAGCCGAAUCGGAUCAUCCCUUUCCUGCCCGGUGGGAGGCUCACAGCAGACAGCCGCAGAAGAAGUAGGCUGGAGUUAGGGCAGCAGGACCUGAGGGAGGACUUGCAAUGGCUUCUCGGAGGGGUGGCGCUGGGGGACCUGGACUGGAUGUUCUAGUAGGUUGUCAGAGCUCAGCAUGGGAGGCUCUACAUCUGGGCUGGCUUGGGGAGGGACCGGAAGACCUCAGGACCGUUAAGAUGUCAGAAUCCUCCAGGCUUCUCCACAGGGGCCCCAGAGUCUUAGGGGGCAGACACACGCCUCAAUGAUUCGCCAGUGCAGUAGAUGCCUGGUGGCUGAGUGCCCAGGCUGGAGGGGGGCAAAUGGGGGCUAUGGAGGGAAUGGACCUCUACGAGAUUUGUUCUGACUCCGAGGUCCUAUAAAUCCCCAAGUUAGGAUUCUCCAUGGGUUUCAAGAAGGGAAACCAGCGAGGAGUGAGCAGAGAGCUGGUGAAUUGCCCCAGGACUCCUGGCCACUAGGCCCCUUUCCCUGGGUCGGUGGGUGUGAUGGAGUGGCUGUGAUAAUUGCUAAUCACUAUUAAUUGAUACUGGAGGUCACAGUAAUGACAGCCCCACCAGGAUUCAUAGUCACAGUCCCCCCAUCUUUGAGGUUUCUCUGCUGAGGGAAGACAGGGAGGGGUGGCCUAAGCCCCUUGGCACCCCGGGUCCCAAAGGAGGACAAAAUGAGACAGCGGUCCAGGUAAGGCAGGUCUCCCCUCACCUCGGGCAGUGCUGUGGUGAGCAGGAAGGCGAGGGGCAGGCGGGCUCCUAAUGCCCCCAGUGCCCCCUCUUCUGAGUGGCUCCCCUCUCUCUACUUCUCUCUCUCCAGGGCAUUUUCCCCUCCUCUCUGAGUUUACAUGGGUCCCUGUUGGUUGAACUGUCCUCACCAGCAGCGUCACCCUGUCCUCCCAGCUGCCUCUCACUGCCCUUCUGAGCUCCUGGGCUGCUGGGUGGUCAGCCCUCUCCUUGCCCCGCUCCCCGUUUCAUGACGCCUGAGUGUCCGUCACUGCUGGCAUGAGAUUUGGGGGAAGUGUCAGGUGAGGAGGUGCCCACUCUGCUCCCGGGUGAACAUCUCUGCUUCUGGGAGAAUGUCUUCAUGUGCCUGCUGGGGUGCAGGCCCGCAGACUGUCUGGGGGAGGUGGCCACGCUCCUGCCCAUUCUGGUUGGUAAUAAGAGGGAGACAGAAGGGGUGGGCAGCUGGCCAUCCAUCAUCCGCCCCUGGAGCAGACCAGGGUGGUUUUGUGAAACCAGGCUUUCCUGAUCUUAGCAUCACACUUAUGUGUGCACACAUGCACAAAUGCACCCCCCCUAGAGACAGCACACUGAGACUCACACUGACAUGCUUGGUACCGCGGGUUUUCUCCCAGACAGUCCGCCCUGGGAGCUGCUUCCAGGGUAAAUUUCCUAAUAGACCUUUUAGCACAGGUCCCCCUCCUACCCUGGGUGCAAACCUUCCAUGAGUCCCCGGUGCCCGUGGGGUGGGGCUCAGACCCCCUAGCCUAGCAUCCAAGGCCUUCUCUGACCUGGUCCCAAUGUGACUUCCCAGCCUGGUCUCCUGUGAUCCUCCCACAGGAGUGUCUUCCUAAAGAAGACAGAUUGUGUGCACUGACAUUUCCUUCCCAGCAGGGUCACCCGGGGAUGUGCCAGCUCCCCCUCACAUCUCUACUGAGUUAGGCCCGCCUCCUCCAGGAGGCCCUUUUGACUGCCUCAGCUUACAGCAACUUCCUCCUUAGCUCGGACCUCGACACGUCAUCGGUGUGUGUGAAUAGCUGAGAAUCUGGCUGUUCUCAGGGGAAGAGCAUUCAUCUGAAUUGGAUCAAGUCCCUCCUCUGGCUCUUCCUGGCUGUGUGACUCUGAGCAAGCAGCUCACCUUCUCUGGGCAUCAGUUUCCCAAUGCUAUCGUGAGGAGUUUUGGCUUCACUACUCUAAGAUUCUGUGUUUCUGUGGGGAUGAGGAUGGAGACAGACAGGCUCAGGUAGAUCCACAGAUAGCCUCUUUCAACAUGGAGGGCAGGAAGGCUGGGGGCGGUCACUAGAUCAACAGAAAUUAAACUCAAGAGUUCUUGACCCAGGAGAAAGCAGACUGAUGUCAGGUCGAGACAGAUCCAUGAGGUCUUGGACUACUUUUUCUUCUUGUGCUCUCGGUUUAUUCAUAUGAAAAAUAGGUCCGUGUUCCAGGCUCCUUUGGGGCAUUAGAGGAGAGGAAGUAGGUGGAAGCUGAAUUCAUGCGCACAGUACGUAUAGGACUCAGUUAUUGGGGAGCUGUGUGUCUGGGUCCCCUUCCCUUCCCAUUUCUCCUGGUGCAGGCUCUGUUCUGUUUUUGCUCUCCUUGAUUAUUGCCCGGGAGAACCCAUACUCACCUCUCCUCUAGUCAGCCAGGGGCUUGGCAUCAGGCCUUGGUGGGGUCCCUGGUCCGCGGCCUGCUGGGAGGGUCUGGGUUGCAGAACUCCCCAGUGAGCUUCCAGUUAGCGCCUCGGGUGGAGUCUCCUGUGCAAACGCUGCUAUGCAGGCGUCCUGAGAUUUCCCACCACUCUGGUUCCCAUAUCCCCAGCUCCCCUGCCUCCAGGACAUCCUGCCCCCAUCUGACCUCUGGGAUCUCUCCCAGCCCGAGACAUGUCCCCCUUGCCUCAUCACCCUUCCCUGGGAAUACUGAGGCUGGAAUUGUCCGUAGCAGCCUGGAAGAUUCCUCAGAAAUGUGAGGGAGGGGAAGGGAGCUUGAGUGAGGGGAGCCCCAUCCUAUACAUUCCGGCCCCUGGCUCCCCUUUGCUUCCCACGUCACCCCUGGGAGAGGGGUGGAAGCAGGCAGCAGAGUGCACCCCCAAAUUCCUUUGCCUCAGCCUCCACAAGAUCUUAGAGGCAGGGAACUUUCUUUGCAGGGAGCUGAGGGUACCCCAGGGUCCUGCUUCCCACUCUGAUCUCCAAGGGCCAUGGUGCAUCCAGACUCCGGCGGAGUGGCCGCUCUGUUUACAGUGUGGGAGGUUUGUUCCAACUGACGCCUCUUAGCCCAGGGCUCUGGAGGGAAGGGGCGUCGGACCGUGGGAAAGUGGAAGGAGAGGAACCAAGCCCGGCUUUGGAAGGAGGACCUGGCCUCUGCUUUCGGGAGGCCCAGAGACGGAGGAGGGCUCGGCGAAGUCACACAGCACUUGCCUCUCACCAGGGGCUGUCCUGGCCUGGCUUUCUCUUGCUCGUAGUUUCCCAGCCACUUUUGAUCUGAUUUUUAAAAAUAUACAUUCUCUACUCUCCACCAUCUCUCCUGCUUUCUCCAACCAUUCUCCCCCCUAAAUAAUUAUGUAUGAACUUUGACCCCGGGAAUCCGCUUGGGGGGAGCAUUUUGGGAAAACAUGAUAGAGCCUCAUAAAGAACUCCAACAGCUUGCAAACAGCCUGUGCUAAAUUGCCCCUUCAAGUGAAAAUUAAAGCAAAUGUCUGUUUUA
Molecule: non-coding RNA, 5830 nt
Organism: Equus caballus (horse)
Lineage: Eukaryota; Metazoa; Chordata; Mammalia; Perissodactyla; Equidae
Source: RefSeq, a predicted model, not a curated record